CCCUGUGCCCCCGCCCGUCAAACGCCAUCACCCCGGCCACCUGCGCCUAGGCGCCUACCCCUGCCGCGCCGCCCGCCGCCCGCCUGCCCCACCCCACGGCCAUGGUCGAGCGCCCCUCCUCCCCGGCAGCUCGCUGCGCCCGCCCCUGCCCCCCGGCGGCGGAGCUCCGUGCGCGCGGGCGGGCGCCCGUCCCUGCCCCGGUGGGCACGCGCGCGGGCGGGCCGGCGCGUGGCAGCGACGACGGUCGGAGGAGGCCGCCGCGUCCAUGGCAGUAGCGGGAAGAGGAGCAGCUCGGGCCGGCCGCACCUCUCUCUGCCCCCUGCGGCGCUCGGCGUGGAUCUACGACGGCGGCGAGGAUCUGUAGCGGCGGCGCUCGGCGAGGCGUGGCACGGACGAUCCGCUACGACUCGGCGCAGGCGCCCGCCCCUCUCCGCGCGCGCACGCGCCGCAGGCAAGAUCCGGCUCCGCGCGGGCGAGCUCCGCCGUCUCCACGGGCGCGCGAGCGCGAGCUCCGCCGUCCCCGUCGCGCGGGCGAGAUCUAUGGUGGUCCCCUCCGCGCUUCCUCCCCGGCUCCGACGCCUCCGCCGCCGCCACGGGCGAGAUCCGGCUCUGCGCUGGUGGCGAGGGCCGCGGCCAUGGGGCUUCUGCCUGGCCGCGCUCGCGGUUCUCGCCGCUGACACCGGCAAGGGCUGGGCCCGAAACUCCUACAGCAACUACACCCAGUUCCGGUGCUCGGAGGUGUUGAACGUGAUCAGCUUCGUGUACUCGGUGUGAGCUCACGCACAGAGAACACACACAAGAACAGUAGUAUUCACAUAUUCGACUUUAAUACCUUCGCAUUUCACAGCUUCAACUUCCAACAUAAAAGCUUACAUUUUUUUGUGAAAGGGGUAGCUGAGGUUUGGUUCAAUUUUUUUUGCGAGACAGAGUAUAUUGCGGCGGCGACAGCAUGUUGCCAGGGAGUUUGGCUGGGGCGGCUGCUGGCAGAGCUCACCGGAGAAGAAGCUCGGGCACCCAUCCUGAUGGUGGACAACCAGUCAGCCAUCGUUUAGCAAAAAACCCCGUCCACCACGACCGGAGCAAGCACAUCGACACCAAGUAUCACUUCAUCUGUGAUUGCGUCGAUGGUGGACAGAUCAGGCUCGAGUAUGUCGAGAUAGUUCGACAGCUCGGGGUCAUCCUCACCAAACCACUUGGGCGCGUUCGACUCACAGAGUUGAGGACCAAGAUUGGAGUUGAGGAAAUCAAGCAAGAGCAGUGCAAUUAGGGAAAUGAUUGUUAGAUAAUUACCCUUGCUCUCGCUUGUCAUCAUGCUUGAACAGUAGUGGGAGCUCCUGCUCCUGUGCUUGCCAUGCCUGGUCUUUUGACUUGGGCGGCAGAUGGCUGUAGCAUAUAAUAGUGGCUGCAAGUUACUAUAUGGCAGCAUGGUAGCAAUAGUUGUAGCAGUAGCAAGUAAUAGUAGAGGCUGCAUUACACUGUAGCCAUACCCUGUACAUUGACUGGCUGUGUCUAUAAAAAGGAGAGUAGCUGUAGCUUACAAGAUUAAGCAGCUCCACUUCGUGUGCUCUUCCUGAGUCCUUCUUCCUCAUCUUCUUCCUCCACCUGCAAGCAAGAGGGUGUUGUGUGUGUGUGUGUGAGGGAGUGCCAACAAUCCAUAGCCAAAUUCACCUCCACGAGUACACUGAUUUCAAGUCACCUGCUCCUAGCCAAAAUCACCUCCCGCUAGAUACACCAGUUUAAAGCAUGUUUGAAAGUGCUGCUCAUGUUUGCUGGACAAUUAACUACCAGCAUGUUUUGAGGCCCCAUUUGAAAUGAUGGGUCUAUGCACUAACAUUUCAACCAUCAUAUAAUUACAUGGUAUGUCUUGAACUCAGGAAUUUAGAAAGGGAGUAUCAAUGAGAUGAGGUCCUUGAAGGAUUGCUUGGUCAAGGAGCAGUAUUCAGGACUGACCACUAUUGGGGCAAGGAACUGGUUGAGAACCUUUCAUUCUUCUCCGAACCACUAGAAUAACUAAUCUAUACUAUAAGGAACCACCCUAAUACAAUUUUGGGUGAAGGAGGUGCCUUCUUUCAUGUUCAUGUAAAAAUAUACCGAUUGUGAAAUGAUCAUUCAUAAACCACCAGGUGACCACCGUGUUAGUAUUAGCAGGUUAGUGGAUUAUUGCUAUGGUUCUAUUUUCUGAUUAACAUCUUAGAUUGCAGCAUAAGUUUUUCAUAAAUGGUUCAUGUUUUGCCAAAAUGGAUGCAACUGAUGCAUAGAAAGUUUGCUAUUGGGCCCUUGCAAAAAGUUACUUUUAAAAGUUACUGUCAAAUCAAAGAUUCCAUUGUUGGUUGCUGCAAAGCAAAGUCAAAUAUCUGCUUUCAUCCUGAUGUCUGCACUACUAUGUAUAUCAUAUAUAUCAGGUAGAAAAGCUAGGUUGUGAUGUGCUCAAUACUGCCAUGCUAGGAACAAAGAUGGAGCCUACAGCUAUGCCAUGUAUUUUAUCCAUAUAGUGAUAUUUGCAUUUUAAGCUAUAUUAUGUUCCCUAAAUUAUAAGUUCUGUAUGGUCUUACUCUAUUUUGAUGUUUAAAUUUCUUUUUUCUUUUACAUGACAGGGCAUUCAUCAAGCAAUGGCCUGCAUGGUUAUAUGCCUUUCACUGGCUUCAUUAGACCGUGGAAGAUAUUGUAAGUUUCUGUUUCUGCUUGAUUCUCUCUCAAUUCCUGGGUCAAUAAUUGAUUAACUUAAUCAUUUGUAAGUAUAUUAAGUGCUUCUGAAUAAAACUAUGCACAGUUCAGAGGCUCCUUUUUGCUAAAGGUAUAUGUUGUGAAAGAUAGAUAGUCUUUUCACUAACCUAUUUAGUAGAGGUCUGUACUACUUUUUGGCAUCUGUAAACGUUGAAUGCCUUGAUCUGCCAAGAAAUUGUGCAAAGCUUGAAAAAAGUUGCUUGGUUGAGGUUGAAAAUGGUAUGGGAUGAAAAAUCUCACUUCAAAAUUCUAUAAAAUUAAAAUUUACUACAUAUUGAAGGCUUGAUUGUAGCUGUAGGUACUCUGAGAGUAAUAUAGAUGGAAAUAACAGGGUAAUAGACACAAUAAUCACUUCAAGUGAAUAAUAGUCAGGGAAGUUCACCUGAGAUAUCUUUAAAUCUUUUCCUCCAUUCUAGCUAUGUGAUUGCAGUGAAGUUCCAAUACAAUCAGGUACAUUCUCCCCAACAAGUGUUGAAUCAGCUGUCACAGAAUUAUAUGAAACUAUAAUUUGCUUGCUUCUGUUUAUUUCCUAGUUACUUGUGGAUGCAUUUCGUAAGAUCCCAAAAGCCAGCUGGAAUGCGAAAGGGAAUGGAUAUUACCUCCCUCAUGUUUGUCAACAGCAGAGGAUGUUCUUUGUUCCGUACCAGGAUUAGCUGUGGAGGUCAAAAAAACCCCUGAACCCCUGCCCCAUCCUUACACAGCGGCACCGUAGCCCAUGUGAGACGACCACGACCGGGGCCGGGCCUUAGACCUGUGCUUUGGCCAUGGGACAGAUGAGGGGAUUUUUUUAACCUCAGCCUGAAAUUCGCUCCCACGGGGAGUCGAACCCAACACCUGAGGAGUGCCGCUGGGUUCCUCUAACCAUCUCAGCCAUACUGGGAUGGUCACUGCAUGGAAAAAGUAUUUUCAUAGCAUGGCACAACAUUUCAACAUCACAAUCCACGAAACAUUAUGCUUGUGUGGUCCAUGUGUUAGCCCGUGCAGGAAAUCUCGAGCAAGUGUUGGAAUUCAUAUAUAAGAAAUUUAAGGCUGGGGCCGAGCUUCUAUUCCGUGUAUUGGGUUGCAAAUCCAAGAGUUACAGUGACAUACAAGAAGUCUCUGGUACUGUGUUCUUAUUGAGAAUUUUUGGAGCCUAAUUUACAAUAGUACAUAGUAUUAUUUUCUAAAGCCUUACUAAUCCUUCUCUAGAUAAUAAGAAUCAACGAUAGAGCUCAUUUCUUAAACCUACUGCAUUUACUUUUACUAGCAUAUGUAAUUAGUACAAGAAGAUGCAGUAAUUUAGUUUAGGAACUAUACACAUUAUCUAACUUUUGAGAUAUUUGGAGUGACUCUUCAGUAUAUUUAGUCAAAUGAUGUGGUCUGUUCAAAUAAGCUUUGGCAUGCUAAUUGUUUGUGUGGCAAAUGCCGGUUCAGGAUCUCUGCAACUGGUGCCGCAAAAAAUAUUUACAAAAGACUGAAUUUGUUUUACCUCAGAAUGGGUUAUGAACUUAGGCAACAUAUCAUGUGCAAACCAACCCAUUCGUGCAACGGUGCGCGAAUAGGUUGGUUUGCACCUGAUACGUCGCCAUGAACUUAUCAUAAAUAGUUAAUAUGUUUUCUCUCCCUGCAAUUUUUAUAUUGGAUAAUGAACAAUAAAGAUUAUGUCUGAAUUAAUAUUACACUAUAUCUUUUCAUAGGAGCAUUAAACAACAUACCAGGUUGUGAUAGACUCACAUUUGCUUAGCUGGUAUUCAUGCAUGCAGUUUCCUCUGAGUUACCAGUUUUCAUGGAUGUGAAUUAGAUGACCACUGUGGAAAAUGGAGUGAGUGGAGCGCACGGUGAUGCAGGGGUCUCAUCCCUUGUUACUCCUUUUUUUUACCCAACUUAGUACCCAAUACAUAAUAAAUAAUAUUCAUGUAUUUUGAGUCAAUAUGUUCCAUGAAUGUCCCAUGUAUUUCAUCAUUACUAGAAUCACGCGUGGGGUCGCCGCGCUAAAUAGCCCUUCUGGGAGACCUCGAGAUGUUGACAGUUGAGUAUGAAGAUUUGUAUGAAGCAGGUUGGAGAGCACUGAUGAGAUAUAUUGAAAAGCUAUUGCCAACCAUGCUUCAGAUGCCACAAGGCCGGAUGCCGUCAGUAGAUUGGAGAAGAGCAAGUGGGCAGGGUGUAUUUUGUCAUGAGAUCUCGAUCGGACGGUGAAUGAUAUUUUACUGACGUGGCUGAAUUCCUGAUCGCUGUUGCGACCAGGUUUAAGUCAGUAAAGAUUCCCAUAUUUGAUUUGAUUCACUAAUUCGUUUGCUAAUCUAUAUUCGGAAAUAUAAAGAUUGACUAUUGACUCGGUAUUGUAAUAUAAGGAAAUAAGGAAUCGCAAUGUAUUGUAAAUGAUAACAUUUUCCCUAUGAUCGGUUGUCAA
RNA transcript from Panicum virgatum (switchgrass), 5113 nucleotides. It is a transcript of the gene named pentatricopeptide repeat-containing protein At2g03380, mitochondrial-like, with no coding region annotated. The transcript has 8 exons. Lineage: Eukaryota; Viridiplantae; Streptophyta; Magnoliopsida; Poales; Poaceae. The record is from RefSeq and is a predicted model, not a curated record.